This 25-nucleotide transfer RNA is filed under the name Yucca brevifolia. RNAcentral's name for it is "partial tRNA-Leu". Lineage: Eukaryota; Viridiplantae; Streptophyta; Magnoliopsida; Asparagales; Asparagaceae. The record is from RNAcentral.
GGAUAUGGCGAAAUUGGUAGACGCU